RNAcentral lists this ribosomal RNA (228 nucleotides) under uncultured fungus. Its description in RNAcentral is "partial 18S ribosomal RNA". It matches the Rfam family "Eukaryotic small subunit ribosomal RNA", at positions 1045 to 1273 of the family's 1831-position model. The record is from RNAcentral. Lineage: Eukaryota; Fungi.
ACUAGGGAUCGGACGAUGUUAUUUUUUGACUCGUUCGGCACCUUACACGAAAGUAAAGUUUCUGCGUUCCGGGGGGAGUAUGGUCGCAAGGCUGAAACUUAAAGAAAUUGACGGAAGGGCACCACCAGGAGUGGAGCCUGCGGCUUAAUUUGACUCAACACGGGGAAACUCACCAGGUCCAGACACGAUGAGGAUUGACAGAUUGAGAGCUCUUUCUUGAUUUCGUGG